CUACGGGACGCUCCAGUGGGGAAUAUUGGACAAUGGGCGAAAGCCUGAUCCAGCAAUACCGCGUGGACGAUGAAGGCCUUAAGGUUGUAAAGUCCUUUCAGUAGGGAAGAUAAUGACGGUACCUACAGAAGAAGCACCGGCUAACUCCGUGCCAGCAGCCGCGGUAAUACGGAGGGUGCUAGCGUUGUUCGGAAUUAUUGGGCGUAAAGCGUACGUAGGCUGUUUCGUAAGUCAGUUGUGAAAGCCCAGAGCUUAACUCUGGAACUGCAAUUGAAACUACAGAACUAGAGUAUAAUUGGAGAUGGCAGAAUUUCUAGUGUAGGGGUGAAAUCCGUAGAUAUUAGAAGGAAUACCAGUGGUGAAGACGGCUAUCUUGGUUGUAACUGACGCUAAGGUACGAAGGUGUGGGUAGCGAACGGGAUUAGAUACCCCAGUAGUC
This 439-nucleotide ribosomal RNA is filed under the name uncultured bacterium. Its description in RNAcentral is "partial 16S ribosomal RNA". It matches the Rfam family "Bacterial small subunit ribosomal RNA", at positions 339 to 795 of the family's 1533-position model. The record is from RNAcentral.